CAGUGCCGUAACUCUUCUGUUCUGGGCGAUACCAAGUUCAAUUUUAACGAAGCUCUUUUAGUUCCAAGAAACAGACACAGCCAGACCAGUCUGAAAAUUUUUAUUUUCUGAAAAAUGUAACUUGUAAGAACACACGUAGAGCAAAAGGGAGAAACUUGGAAAUUUUUACGCAAAAAACACCUAAGUAAAACCAUUCUUGAAAGGACACAUGAACAAAUUGAACCAGUCAGAGGGGAAAGAUCAGGAUGAUGAAGUGACUCAGAAAUCAGAUUAUUCUCUGAAGGACAUACUUAAAACUAAAAGAUGUUGGAUCUCCAAUAUGAAUUUGUGAUGUCCCUCUUCAUGGAGAGCUGCCUGAAGCUGAGAAGGGUGCGACGGACCUGAAGGCUGCACAGCGCCGGGUCUUACCCAAGGCUCAAGGUGACCGCUGCCUGGUUUCUGCUGGUGUUUAUUCAAAGCCCAAGGGCUCUCCAGUCAGCAAGUGGUGAAUCUAGUCAGACAUGUGUCCUACGCUUCAGGGCAAUGAGCUUCCCCUCAGCCUAAGGUUGUUCUGCAGUAAGCAAGUCUAUGCAAACCUCUUCCCAAAGUCCAAGGAAACUGAGAGACCAAAGAAAGAGGCUGACAAAUCCAAUUUUUCAGAAAGUAACAUCUAAUAGAAACUUAUGAACAGAAGUCAUGUCUGUGUUUUGGGCAGCUGUGAGACAAGAUGAUGGAUCCCAGGGCCAUUAUCCCCCAGACCCAGGCUUUAUAAAUCACAGGGAAGGAAUGUGUAGGAUAACCGAAAUCAACAUCUCAAGGAAAAGCAAAAAUGGUAUGUGAAUCUGCCGAAGGGCAGGAUUUAUUGUCAAGGUUGUUUUGACCUAAGGGUAGGAUUUAUGUUAAGUACACAAGAAACAGUGAUAAAAUAGAAAUCUUAGAGGCAUUUCUGGAACUGGAGUUAGUCAGAAGCCAACAUGGCAGAUUUGCAUCGAAGAUGGAUUUGCCUUUAGCCUCCGUAUAAGUACAUACUACUGAACUCUAAAUGCUUAAAGGAAGAGACUAUGUCCAUUUUAGUAUAGAUUUAAUAUACUUACUAAAUCUAUAUGGCAUCAAAACUUCAUGAAUAUUGUUAACAAAUGAUUUUGGUAGCUCAGAUAAGCAUUAUUACAUUGUUGUUUAUCUGUAUAUUUUUCACAGAAGUGCUUUUCAAAUUCUUUUGAAAACUUAGUUUUACAGGGGGUUUGUAGUUUCAAUAAUUACACACACACACACACACACAAAGGAGUCAAACAAUAAAGAAUUUUUCAUCUUGCUAUGAAGAUCUUAACUGCCAUACAUUCCUGUUCUUGAUUUGUAUUAAUUCUAUAUUUUUAUGAUUUUAAUAAAUGUCUAGAAUCAUGUAAUCAUCACCCCAAUGAAGAAAUGGGACAUUUUUAUCUCAUGAGAAAGUUCCCUUUGCAGUCAAUCCUACUUCCUCCCUCCACAUCACAAAAGUGAUUUGAUUUCUGUCAUUAUAGAUUAGUUUUAUUUGUUCUGAAGUUUAAAUAAAUUGAUCAUACAGUGUAUAGUCAUUUGCAUCUAGCUUCUUUUGCUCAACAUAAUAUCUCUGAAAUUCAAUCAUAUUGUUUUCUGUAUCUGCAAUUAGUUCAUUUUCAUUGCUGACUACUAUUCCAUUGUUUAAAUUUACCACAAUUUGUUUAUCCACCCACCUGUUGAUGGACAGUUUGUUUCCAAUUCUUUACUAGGAAUAAAGUUGCUAUGAGCAUUCUUGUA
Long non-coding RNA from Homo sapiens (human), 1752 nucleotides. RefSeq lists it as uncharacterized. NCBI's taxonomy places the organism in Eukaryota, Metazoa, Chordata, Mammalia, Primates, Hominidae. The record is from RefSeq and is a predicted model, not a curated record. The transcript has 5 exons.